UGGGGAAUAUUGGACAAUGGGCGCAAGCCUGAUCCAGCCAUGCCGCGUGAGUGACGAAGACCUUAGGGUUGUAAAGCUCUUUUGGCGGGGACGAUAAUGACGGUACCCGCAGAAUAAGCCCCGGCUAACUUCGUGCCAGCAGCCGCGGUAAUACGAAGGGGGCUAGCGUUGUUCGGAAUUACUGGGCGUAAAGGGCUCGUAGGCGGCCAACUAAGUCAGACGUGAAAUCCCUCGGCUUAACCGGGGAACUGCGUCUGAUACUGGAUGGCUUGAGGUUGGGAGAGGGAUGCGGAAUUCCAGGUGUAGCGGUGAAAUGCGUAGAUAUCUGGAGGAACACCGGUGGCGAAGGCGACAUCCUGGACCAAUUCUGACGCUGAGGAGCGAAAGCCAGGGGAGCAAACGGGAUUAGAUACCCGGGUAGUCCCUGAGCGGGCUGGCAAGGCGCAU
This 447-nucleotide ribosomal RNA is filed under the name uncultured bacterium. RNAcentral describes it as "bacterial SSU rRNA". It matches the Rfam family "Bacterial small subunit ribosomal RNA", at positions 355 to 825 of the family's 1533-position model. The record is from RNAcentral.